RNAcentral lists this ribosomal RNA (585 nucleotides) under uncultured Alphaproteobacteria bacterium. RNAcentral's name for it is "bacterial SSU rRNA". It matches the Rfam family "Bacterial small subunit ribosomal RNA", at positions 24 to 653 of the family's 1533-position model. The record is from RNAcentral. Lineage: Bacteria; Pseudomonadati; Pseudomonadota; Alphaproteobacteria.
UCAGAGCGAACGCUGGCGGCAGGCCUAACACAUGCAAGUCGAACGGGCGUAGCAAUACGUCAGUGGCAGACGGGAGAGUAACAUGUGGGAACGUGCCCUUUGGUUCGGAACAACCCAGGGAAACUUGGGCUAAUACCGGAUAAGUCCGCAAGGAGAAAGAUUUAUCGCCAAAGGAUCGGCCCGCGUCUGAUUAGCUUGUUGGUGAGGUAACGGCUCACCAAGGCGACGAUCAGUAGCUGGUCUGAGAGGAUGAUCAGCCUCACUGGGACUGAGAUACGGCCCAGACUCCUACGGGAGGCAGCAGUGGGGAAUAUUGGACAAUGGGCGCAAGCCUGAUCCAGCCAUGCCGCGUGGGUGAUGAAGGCCUUAGGGUUGUAAAGCCCUUUCGGCGGGGAAGAUAAUGACGGUACCCGCAGAAGAAGCCCCGGCUAACUUCGUGCCAGCAGCCGCGGUAAUACGAAGGGGGUUAGCGUUGCUCGGAAUCACUGGGCGUAAAGCGCACGUAGGCGGAUUGCUAAGUCAGGCGUGAAAUCCUGGAGCUCAACUCCAGAACUGCCUUUGAUACUGGCGAUCUUGAGUCCGGGA